Molecule: ribosomal RNA, 2909 nt
Filed under: Klebsiella pneumoniae
Lineage: Bacteria; Pseudomonadati; Pseudomonadota; Gammaproteobacteria; Enterobacterales; Enterobacteriaceae
Description: partial 23S ribosomal RNA
Rfam family: Bacterial large subunit ribosomal RNA
Source: RNAcentral
AGCGACUAAGCGUACACGGUGGAUGCCCUGGCAGUCAGAGGCGAUGAAGGACGUGCUAAUCUGCGAAAAGCGUCGGUAAGGUGAUAUGAACCGUUAUAACCGGCGAUGUCCGAAUGGGGAAACCCAGUGCAAUUCGUUGCACUAUCGUUAACUGAAUACAUAGGUUAACGAGGCGAACCGGGGGAACUGAAACAUCUAAGUACCCCGAGGAAAAGAAAUCAACCGAGAUUCCCCCAGUAGCGGCGAGCGAACGGGGAGCAGCCCAGAGUCUGAAUCAGCUUGUGUGUUAGUGGAACGGUCUGGAAAGUCCGACGGUACAGGGUGAUAGUCCCGUACACCAAAAUGCACAGGUUGUGAACUCGAAGAGUAGGGCGGGACACGUGGUAUCCUGUCUGAAUAUGGGGGGACCAUCCUCCAAGGCUAAAUACUCCUGACUGACCGAUAGUGAACCAGUACCGUGAGGGAAAGGCGAAAAGAACCCCGGCGAGGGGAGUGAAAAAGAACCUGAAACCGUGUACGUACAAGCAGUGGGAGCACCUUCGGGUGUGACUGCGUACCUUUUGUAUAAUGGGUCAGCGACUUAUAUUCUGUAGCAAGGUUAACCGUAUAGGGGAGCCGCAGGGAAACCGAGUCUUAACUGGGCGUUAAGUUGCAGGGUAUAGACCCGAAACCCGGUGAUCUAGCCAUGGGCAGGUUGAAGGUUGGGUAACACUAACUGGAGGACCGAACCGACUAAUGUUGAAAAAUUAGCGGAUGACUUGUGGCUGGGGGUGAAAGGCCAAUCAAACCGGGAGAUAGCUGGUUCUCCCCGAAAGCUAUUUAGGUAGCGCCUCGUGAAUUCAUCUUCGGGGGUAGAGCACUGUUUCGGCUAGGGGGUCAUCCCGACUUACCAACCCGAUGCAAACUACGAAUACCGAAGAAUGUUAUCACGGGAGACACACGGCGGGUGCUAACGUCCGUCGUGAAGAGGGAAACAACCCAGACCGCCAGCUAAGGUCCCAAAGUCAUGGUUAAGUGGGAAACGAUGUGGGAAGGCACAGACAGCCAGGAUGUUGGCUUAGAAGCAGCCAUCAUUUAAAGAAAGCGUAAUAGCUCACUGGUCGAGUCGGCCUGCGCGGAAGAUGUAACGGGGCUAAACCAUGCACCGAAGCUGCGGCAGCGACACUAUGUGUUGUUGGGUAGGGGAGCGUUCUGUAAGCCUGCGAAGGUGACCUGUGAGGGUUGCUGGAGGUAUCAGAAGUGCGAAUGCUGACAUAAGUAACGAUAAAGCGGGUGAAAAGCCCGCUCGCCGGAAGACCAAGGGUUCCUGUCCAACGUUAAUCGGGGCAGGGUGAGUCGACCCCUAAGGCGAGGCCGAAAGGCGUAGUCGAUGGGAAACAGGUUAAUAUUCCUGUACUUGGUGUUACUGCGAAGGGGGGACGGAGAAGGCUAUGUUAGCCGGGCGACGGUUGUCCCGGUUUAAGCAUGUAGGCUGGUUAUCCAGGCAAAUCCGGAUAAUCAAGGCUGAGGUGUGAUGACGAGGCACUACGGUGCUGAAGUAACAAAUGCCCUGCUUCCAGGAAAAGCCUCUAAGCAUCAGGUAACAUCAAAUCGUACCCCAAACCGACACAGGUGGUCAGGUAGAGAAUACCAAGGCGCUUGAGAGAACUCGGGUGAAGGAACUAGGCAAAAUGGUGCCGUAACUUCGGGAGAAGGCACGCUGGUGUGUAGGUGAAGCCCCUGCGGGUGGAGCUGAGACCAGUCGAAGAUACCAGCUGGCUGCAACUGUUUAUUAAAAACACAGCACUGUGCAAACACGAAAGUGGACGUAUACGGUGUGACGCCUGCCCGGUGCCGGAAGGUUAAUUGAUGGGGUUAUCCGUAAGGAGAAGCUCUUGAUCGAAGCCCCGGUAAACGGCGGCCGUAACUAUAACGGUCCUAAGGUAGCGAAAUUCCUUGUCGGGUAAGUUCCGACCUGCACGAAUGGCGUAAUGAUGGCCAGGCUGUCUCCACCCGAGACUCAGUGAAAUUGAACUCGCUGUGAAGAUGCAGUGUACCCGCGGCAAGACGGAAAGACCCCGUGAACCUUUACUAUAGCUUGACACUGAACAUUGAGCCUUGAUGUGUAGGAUAGGUGGGAGGCUUUGAAGCGUGGACGCCAGUCUGCGUGGAGCCAACCUUGAAAUACCACCCUUUAAUGUUUGAUGUUCUAACGUUGGCCCCUUACCGGGGUUGCGGACAGUGUCUGGUGGGUAGUUUGACUGGGGCGGUCUCCUCCCAAAGCGUAACGGAGGAGCACGAAGGUUAGCUAAUCCUGGUCGGACAUCAGGAGGUUAGUGCAAUGGCAUAAGCUAGCUUGACUGCGAGCGUGACGGCGCGAGCAGGUGCGAAAGCAGGUCAUAGUGAUCCGGUGGUUCUGAAUGGAAGGGCCAUCGCUCAACGGAUAAAAGGUACUCCGGGGAUAACAGGCUGAUACCGCCCAAGAGUUCAUAUCGACGGCGGUGUUUGGCACCUCGAUGUCGGCUCAUCACAUCCUGGGGCUGAAGUAGGUCCCAAGGGUAUGGCUGUUCGCCAUUUAAAGUGGUACGCGAGCUGGGUUUAGAACGUCGUGAGACAGUUCGGUCCCUAUCUGCCGUGGGCGCUGGAGAAUUGAGGGGGGCUGCUCCUAGUACGAGAGGACCGGAGUGGACGCAUCACUGGUGUUCGGGUUGUCAUGCCAAUGGCACUGCCCGGUAGCUAAAUGCGGAAGAGAUAAGUGCUGAAAGCAUCUAAGCACGAAACUUGCCCCGAGAUGAGUUCUCCCUGAGACUUUAAGUCUCCUGAAGGAACGUUGAAGACGACGACGUUGAUAGGCCGGGUGUGUAAGCGCAGCGAUGCGUUGAGCUAACCGGUACUAAUGAACCGUGAGGCUUAACCUUACAACGCCGAAG